Molecule: long non-coding RNA, 249 nt
Filed under: Marmota monax (woodchuck)
Lineage: Eukaryota; Metazoa; Chordata; Mammalia; Rodentia; Sciuridae
Source: RNAcentral
AACUUGGUCAAUAUAAAAACAUCAAUGUAAUUAUGGUGCUAUUAAUGUGUUCAUAUCUUCCAGGUAUACAAGUCUGUAAGGUAGAAGCUUCAAAAGAACAUUAUAUCAAGCUGGUGUUCUAAAGUUGUAUGGUAAUUUUAGGCUUAAAAAAAAAACAUGUUGGAGAUUUAUUCAUAUCAUUUGUGUUCUACAACUGGACUUGUUAUCAAUAAGAUAUGUACGGUUCCAUGUUACUUUCUACUCUAAGAU